UUUCAAGCAUUUCUUUAAUAUCACUGACUCACUAUACUAAAUAGGAUUUUUUGUGCAUCAUAAAAGAAAAAAAACUGCUAAUGUCAGAAUCAUAGCGGGCUAAAUAAGAACAGAUGUUAGUAAAAUUUCGUUCUCAUUCAAAAAAAAAAAAGUAAAACCAAAUGUGUUUAUCUGUAUUUGGUAAUUUAAAUAUUUCAAAUACAUGUUAUUCUUUUUUAUUUUGAAAAUUCUAAAUCCUUCCUGAUUUUUCUUUAACUGUUCCCACCCUUCCUCCUACAACAAUUCUAUAUUUAUUGUUACUCCUACUUGAUAAAAUGUGCUAGCUUCCAAAGUGUUUCUUUCUCAUUUGUUUCUGUGUUUCAUGCUGUUUGUUAGUCAUUAAAAUUUCUUGUGCCUCUAUACGUAUAAAAAUUUACUUAGAGAGUCUGCAUUAUCAUGCUCUCUGAAAUAAUUCUGGAUAAGAGAAUAGCCAACUUACAUUUCUUAAUAGCAACUUCAAAAUAAAAUACUAUUCCAUUUAAAAAAUCAAUAAAUUCAAUAUUUUAUACAUGAAAAUGUUAGAUUAAAUAGGUUUUGUUGUUGUUGUUGUUUUUAAUUGCUGUUUAGGGCUGCACUCAUUGCAUAGAGACGUUGCCAGGCUAGGGGCCGAAUCAGAGCUACAGCUGCUGGCCCACACUAUAACCACAGCAAUGCGGGAAGCAAGCCGCAUCUGUUACACCACGGCUAUCUGAAAUAGGAUCCCCGACCCACUGAGCAAGGCCAGGGAUCAAACCCACAUCUUCAUGGAUACCAGUCAGAAUCAUUUCCACUGUGCCACAACAGGAAACUCCUAGAUUAAAUAGUUUUUGUUUCAUAUUAUUUUAAUUUGGCCAGAAAAUUAUAUGCGUGUUCCUGAAAUUUUCUUCAGCAUUAUUUACUUUGAAUACAACUCUAAGGAAGAGAGAAGAGACACCAGUAACCAUUCAGCUCUGGCAAUAUUAUGUUUAUAAUUGCAUGAGUGAAAGUAGAAAUAUCCUGAGUAUUCAUUCAGAAAUAACACACCAGAAAUAUUCAUAGCAAAUAAUCAACAUAAAAAAAUAAUACCGAUGGUUAUCCCUAUGUCCAGAAUUGUCCCAGUAAUCAUGUAAUAUAUUUAUUGUUCAUCCUUAAUAAAAUAUGGUGAGUGUAUUUAGUCAGCAGUUUUCUUCCUAUUUUGAGUGGCAGCAGUUAAGCCAAUAGCAUGAUUGGUUCAUAUAUAAGGGGGAUGAUUGGAAGAAAAUAUAAUAAUUUAAAAUCAAUUUCAUUUAAAACCAAUAUGAAAGGCAAGUCAUGAAAUGAAGAAUGUUUAUAAAGACACAUUUGCCAAAUUCACAUUCAAAAAUUUAAUGAUCCUUAAGCAAUAGGACAGCCAUGGCUUUUUAAAGUAUUUUUACAUCUUUGAAUGUAUUGUAAUAAGCAAACCUUUGCUUAAAUCUAGUUUAAAAAUAAACUAAUAAAAACGGAAACAUUCUUCAUAUGGAAACAUACUUCAUACCUAACAAAAUUAAAAUUAGAAGUAUAAUUAUAGUUAGCAUAGAUUAGGAAUUUACACUUUUUUUUAUCUCCUAAACCAUUGUUUGCUAGAACUCAUAUACCUGACUUAUAGUUCACUGACUUCACUAUUUUGAGUAGUUUUUCUGGUUGUUUACAAUUAUUCACCCUAAUCAAUGUAAAAAAAAACUUUUCCUCACAUGGAGCCAAAGGCUAACAUUUAACUGUGUGUGUGUGUGUGUGUGUGUGUGUGUGUGUGUGUGUGUGUGUGUAUUUUUAAAGAGAUCUCUAUUCCCUUUUAAUUGAUUUAAUAAUUUCUUUUCACCCAAUUUCUCUUAUCUAUCUACUUUCAUCCCCUAUUAGUUAGAUGAUAGAUAACCCAACACUUUUGGAGUUUUUCUGUUCUCUCAUGUGUUUUUCCGUGUGCUUCUUUCUCUUUUGGGAGUUGACUUCCAUUAAUGAAAUAGCAUUGAAAUUAAAACAGAAUUGUUUUAAAAAAUACCAUAUAAAUUUAUGACACAUUCAAUGCUAUUUCAGUUUCCUCAUGUGUGGAUUUUUACUGUUAAAAAAUCUUUGUGAGAUGCAAAUUAGAGUUUAUUAAAAUAUUUUAGUUUAUAAUUUAAAUAUAGAAAAUAGAGUUUAUAUGCCUCUCUAAACUUUUUCUUAAGUGUUAUUUUCAUGUUUCUUCAAAUAUGUCUUCAGUGUUGGUGACCAUUCAUAUCUGGGAAAGCUUAAUGGGAGUUAUGCAAGCAGGAUUUUUGAUGUGCCAGAAUGUAUUAUAAGAUAACCAAAAACAUAAUCAUUAUUUGGUAGGAUAUUAGAUUUAGAGAAUUAUAGCCCUUAGUUUUAGGCCCCCAGCUAGCCACUGCAUUUGCCAUCAUGACUAUUGCAUUCUGUGUGUAAUCCUUAAGAUUCUCAGUAUCAAAAAUGGCACCUUGCAAAGUCAUCUGUAGGUCUACCCAUAUAACUCUUUUCUAGGCCUCUCCAAAUUUCUCUCCUUCCCAAUUAUUUGUCCAUAAGCUAAACCACUUGGUUGCGUAUACCUAUGAUCCCAUGAUUAUAUGUGCAUUUUUACUAUGAAGACUUUUUUUUUUUUUUUUUUUUUUUUUUUUAAGGGUUGCACCUUUGCACCUUUGGCAUAUGAAAGUUCCUAGGCUAGGGGUCAUUCAAUUGGAACUGCAGCUGCUGGACUACAUGUGUGCCACAGCCACAGCAACAUGGGAUCCAGCCCUGUGUGUGACCUACAAUGCAGCUCACAGCAAUGCCAGAUGCUUAACCCACUGAGUGAGGCCAGGGAUUGAACCUAUAUCCUCAUGGAUACUAGUAGGGUUUGUAACCCACUAAGCAACAACGGGAACUUCCUGAAGAUCUUUAAACACAAAGUAUGUGACACACACUGUGCUCAAAGCAAAACAGAAUCUUUUAGGGCCAUGUAUGACUGGAACUAUAGAUUUUUUUUCCUGACCAGGAUUAUCAAUGUAAUGUCUUCCUCCUAAACAAAGGUUAAGAUUGCUCACAGGCCUUUCUAAGAUUGGUGUUUGCUAAUCUCAGCCUUCCUCAUUAUGACCAAAAAUUCCUCUAUAUUCACAAUAUCCACUUGGGCCCAUCUCUUAACUAUCCACAAGGGAUUUUGAGAGGACAGGAAUAAUUGUUGUAUACAUGAAGCUCAGAUUUCUUGCUGUGCUGCAAGUAAGAAAAUCCUUUGUCCCUGAACCAGGAGUCUUAUGUCUUCUGUCAGCAUCUAUGAAAUUGUGACAUGAUCACUCGUCAACUUCAAAUUAGGGUUGGUCCUAUCUUUAGGUCCAUUUAGCCUAUCUUUUUAAAGUAUUUCUGAUUUGUUUCCAUGUCCCUGGCCCAGAAGCAAACCUAAUCAUGCCAUUACAAUAGAGAAGAUAUUAUUUAGUUUGAAGUUAUCAAGAAAGCUUUAACAAUUCUUUAAAAUAAAUCACCUAAUGGAAUGAAGAAAGAUAAUUCAAAAAGUAUUCAAGUUUAUCAAAAAGCAUUUUUUAGUGUUAUUUAUGAGGAUAAUCAAUUUAAUGGCUGUGUAAGUACCUAUGUAAUACAUGUUUGAGGGAAAAUACAGAAAGUCAAAAGUGUUUGGACUGUAAAACACCAUAUGAAUUAUUGGAAUAGGUCAGUAACUAACUAUACUAAAUCAAGAAUCUGAAAUUACUGAAUGGCUUUUAAACGAAAGGGUUCUUUUAAUUGAACCCAUAUAGAAGAGUCACUUUAGUAUGUAGAAUUGUGGAACUUGUUAUUUUUACAGUGAACAGAAUAGUGGUGUCAAAUAUCCAAAAGAGCUCCUAAGAGUUUGGCCUAGAACUGAGUUACUGAAAAUAAGAUUCUUUGCUAAGAGACAAAUAUAGCAAUAUGAUUUAAGCAAUUAUUAAUAAAUAAUACUAAAACAAUGGCCCCCCUGAGGUUUAAAAAACAUUAUGUUUAAACAUUCAAACAAAUAAUAUGCUGAUAACUUAAAGAAAUUAAGUCAAGUUUCCACUAUGGAAACAUUUUAAAUCAAUGGUAACAAUUUCCUAUAGUUUUAAUUAAAGUAGUGAUUAAUAUCAAAUGUAUAAUUUCAGUUACUAACUAUAUGUAAAAUGAGUCACACACAUCCCCAGGUGAGUAUGAUGAUAGAAAAAUGAUUAUCAAGUGCUAAGAAUCUGUGCUAGGUGACAAUUCAACAUUGUAGAGAGCACUGGAAUUUUGCAGUAGACAAUACGGUUUUGAAUGAUGCUUACACAUUCUGUUAACUGUAUAACUUUAGACAAUUCAUUUUAAGACUUUGAGAAUUGGUGUCCUAAUAUAUAAAUUUAAAAUAAUUAAGGUUUAUGCUCCAUUAUUUUCUACCCUGUUAUCGACUAAGAUAAUGAAUACAGACUCUUCUAUACAUUUUGUUUGGGUCAUCUUUAUAGUAAAUAUUAUCUUGUAUCAUAACUGCCUCAUAUACUGCUGCUUCCUUUACUAGCUCAUGAACUGCCAGUACACAGAGACAUAAUCUCAUUCAGUUGUGUAACUUUCAAAUACCUAGCACAUACCAUGUGUAUAAUUGACUUUUUUGAUGGAUCUUAUUUUUUUAAACCAUGCUAAGGAUGUUCUCACUGAACUUUUACAGGUAGUGUAAACAUUCUGUAUAGAAUUAUUAACCUAUUCAUUACAUCAAACUGAAAAACAAAAAACAAAAAACAAAAAAAAACCACUUUAACUGUUUUUUUAACAGGUGCUAAGGAUAACGUACCCACAUUGCUUUCCAAAAAACUGAAGCUUAAAUCUUAGCUUCAUUCCUAAUUCGGUACUUCAGUUUCUUUACAGUUUUCUCAUAUGCAAAACAAGGAUGAAAUGCCUAUACUGCUGUGUUCUAGACAGGAUUAAAUUGAAAGAAAUAAAUAUGUAAAUAUUUGGAGUUCCCUGGUAGCUUAGCAAUUAAAGAUUCAGUAUUGUCUCUGCUGUGGCUUGGGUUCAAUCCCUGGCCCAGGAAAUUCCACAUGCCACG
This 4999-nucleotide long non-coding RNA is filed under the name Sus scrofa (pig). Its description in RNAcentral is "lncRNA (ENSSSCG00000053869.1)". The record is from RNAcentral. Lineage: Eukaryota; Metazoa; Chordata; Mammalia; Artiodactyla; Suidae.